GCAGGUGUGGUGGUGCAUGCCUGUAAUCCCAGCUACUUGGGAGGCUGAGAUGGGAGGAUUGCAAGUUCAAAGCUAACCUCAGCAAUGGCAAGGUGCUAAGCAACUCAGUGGAAUCCUGUCUCUA
Molecule: small RNA, 124 nt
Filed under: Marmota monax (woodchuck)
Lineage: Eukaryota; Metazoa; Chordata; Mammalia; Rodentia; Sciuridae
Source: RNAcentral